AUGGUCCGUGGACCGCGCGGUAAGUGGAUCCGGGUAUGGACCGGUGAAGCUUUCGAGGGCGGGAGAUGACCGCCGGGUCGUCUCCGGCGAGCCGUC
This 96-nucleotide transfer RNA is filed under the name Streptomyces sp. MBT84. Its description in RNAcentral is "tRNA-His". The record is from RNAcentral. Lineage: Bacteria; Bacillati; Actinomycetota; Actinomycetes; Kitasatosporales; Streptomycetaceae.